CCAGCGCGGACGUCCACCCGCUCUUCUCCCAGCUUCUCGCCCCAGACAGGGCGGGGCUUGUGCAGGAAGAACUGUCGCAGCAUCCCUAUUUCCGGAGAAGGCUGGAGGGACUCGCGUUCGCCGAGGCUGCGCUUGGGUGUGAUGGCCGCCGCGCUGGACCCCGAAGGACCACCUUGAGUAUGACUAGGGACAGAUGGGCCCGGGACCCUGGAUGUUCUAUCUUAACGCAGCCGGGCACGGUGACGCACGCCGUUAAUCCCAGCACUCGGGAGGCAGAGAGCCCUGUGUGAAGAGCAGCUGAUAAUGUCGGUUUGGGAAGUUGGCUGGAAAAAACUUACUCAUGAAGGGGCUGGAAGGAAAGACAAAGCGGUUGACAACCGGCAGUGACAGCUGUGACGAUCUCCCCCAACACCCAUCUACUGCUGCUGUCUGUCCCGUUGCACUGUGGAGAAAGAGAGAGAAAGAAAAAGGUAUUGGAGGAAUGGGUGUGCCAGGGCCUCCUGCCACU
Molecule: long non-coding RNA, 508 nt
Organism: Jaculus jaculus (lesser Egyptian jerboa)
Lineage: Eukaryota; Metazoa; Chordata; Mammalia; Rodentia; Dipodidae
Exons: 3
Source: RefSeq, a predicted model, not a curated record